This 225-nucleotide long non-coding RNA is filed under the name Lathyrus oleraceus (garden pea). RNAcentral's name for it is "Pisum sativum (pea) long non-coding RNA (PSAT_LNC036643)". Lineage: Eukaryota; Viridiplantae; Streptophyta; Magnoliopsida; Fabales; Fabaceae. The record is from RNAcentral.
GAGAACACUGCUGGAGAAGAAAACGAAGUCUUCAACAAGCACUCUGCUCUGGGGAUAUAGAAUCUCCACAGAGACUCUGUUUGGGGAGAAAUCCCAACAACAACUCUGCUUGGGGAGAAACCCCAAUAACAGUCUGGAGAAAAAGAGAUACAGCCAUGCCAGGAGUAAUGAACGAAUGUCUUACCCUGUUGGAAAUCAUGCCACCCUUGGGAGAGCACUGAGAAA